AGAGUUUGAUCCUGGCUCAGGGUUAACGCUAGCGGUGCGCCUAACACAUGCAAGUCGAGCGGUAUUGAGAUAUAGCUUGCUAUAUUGAGAGAGAGCGGCGAACGGGUGAGUAACACGUCGGUACAUGCCCCCAAGUCAGGGAUAGCCAGAAGAAAUUCUGAUUAAUACCGGAUAGUCUCUUUGGAGUAAAAAUUUAUUGCUUGGGGAGUGGCCUGCGUUCUAUCAGCUAGUUGGUGAGGUAAUAGCUCACCAAGGCUAAGACGGAUACUUGGUCUGAGAGGAUGAUCAGGCACAAUGGAACUGAGACACGGUCCAUACUCCUACGGGAGGCAGCAGUGAGGAAUCUUCCACAAUGGACGAAAGUCUGAUGGAGCGACACCGCGUGAAGGAUGAAGGCCUAACGGUUGUAAACUUCUUUUCUGAAGGAGCAUAAUGAGAGUACUUCAGGAAUAAGGGACGGCUAAAUACGUGCCAGCAGCCGCGGUAAUACGUAUGUCUCAAGCGUUACCCGGAAUCAUUGGGUGUAAAGGGUUUGUAGGUGGAUAAUUAAGUCAGGUAUGAAAGACCGGAGCUCAACUCCGUGUUUGUAUUUGAAACUGGUUGUCUAGAAUCAGGGAGAGGUAAGCGGAAUUCUAAGUGUAGGGGUGCAAUCCGUAGAUACUUAGAGGAACACCAAAAGCGAAGGCAGCUUACUGGAACUGUAUUGACACUGAUAAACGAAAGCGUGGGGAGCGAAAAGGAUUAGAUACCCUUGUAGUCCACGCCCUAAACGUUGAUAACUAAGUGUUGCGACUCGCUCGCAGUGCUGAAGCUAACGCGAUAAGUUAUCCACCUGAGGAGUACGGUCGCAAGAUUAAAACUCAAAGGAAUAGACGGGGACCCACACAAGCAGUGGAUCACGUGGUUUAAUUCGACAAUAAACGGGGAACCUUACCCAGACUUGACAUCUACCGAAUUUCCUAGAGAUAGGAGAGUGCCUUUAUUGGAGCGGUAAGACAGGUGCUGCAUGGUUGUCGUCAGCUCGUGCCUUGAGGUGUUCGGUUAAGUCCGUUAACGAGCGCAACCCAUGUCUUUAGUUGCCAUCUUUGAGUAGGGCACUCUAAGGGAACUGCCGGUGAUAAGCCGGAGGAAGGUGUGGAUGGCGUCAAGUCCUCAUGGCCCUUACGGGUUGGGCUACACACGUGCUACAAUGGUGGUGACAAUGGGAUAAUCCCCAAAAGCCAUCUCAGUUCGGAUUGGGGUCUGCAACUCGACCCCAUGAAGUCGGAAUCGCUAGUAAUCGCGUAACAGCAUGACGCGGUGAAUACGUUCCCGGGCCUUGUACACACCGCCCGUCACACCAUGGGAGUUGGGUCUACCCGAAGGUGGUGCGCUAACCCGCAAGGGAGGCAGCCAACCACGGUAGGCUCAGCGACUGGGGUGAAGUCGUAACAAGGUAACC
This 1441-nucleotide ribosomal RNA is filed under the name uncultured bacterium. RNAcentral's name for it is "partial 16S ribosomal RNA". It matches the Rfam family "Bacterial small subunit ribosomal RNA". The record is from RNAcentral.